UCUGCUUUGGUCAGAUUUCACCUAGAAUACUGUGUCCAAUUCUGUCAUAAAGAAGAGGGGAUAAGCUUGUUUUCUGUUGCCCUGGAGACUAGAACUCUGACCAAUAGGUUCAAAUUACAGGAAAGGAGUUUCCACAUAAACAUUAGGAAGAACUUCCUAACCGUAUGGGCUGUUCAACAAUGAAACUCUCUGCCAUGGAGUGUGGCGGAAGCUCCUUCCUUGGAGUCUUUUAAACAGAAGCUGGAUGGCCAUCUGUCAGAGAAUCCCCUUAGGAGCAGAACCUCAGGCAAGGCACUUCUGGUUCUUGGAAGAGUCAGCUUUUUCGUGACUGGAAGGUGAAGAGAGAGGAAGGCAGAAGGUCAACAAAUAGCAUGUCUAGUUGGAGCCGUAUGAGUUAUAGUCCAGGCGGAUCUGUAUUCCAAGUCCAGUCAGAGUUAAAUACUGAAAUGAUCUUAGAGACAGUUGAACACCAUAUAAGAAAGAGACAAUAAGAAGAAAUAAAGAUUCAAGAACCUCAUUUUGGCCAGAACUGUGUCUGUCUCAAAGACUUUGCCUCUCUUCAUAAAGACUUUGUAGUGACACUCAGGAGGACAGAAAGUCUAAAAUUAUUGUCAGCUAAUAAAUUCCUGUUUGAUUCAA
Long non-coding RNA from Anolis carolinensis (green anole), 639 nucleotides. RefSeq lists it as uncharacterized. Lineage: Eukaryota; Metazoa; Chordata; Lepidosauria; Squamata; Anolidae. The record is from RefSeq and is a predicted model, not a curated record. The transcript has 2 exons.